AAUUUUCCGCAAUGGGCGCAAGCCUGACGGAGCAACGCCGCGUGAGGGAGGAAGGCCUGUGGGUUGUAAACCUCUUUUCUCUGUGAAGAAGCUCUGACGGUAGCAGAGGAAUCAGCAUCGGCUAACUCCGUGCCAGCAGCCGCGGUAAGACGGAGGAUGCAAGCGUUAUCCGGAAUUAUUGGGCGUAAAGCGUCCGUAGGCGGUUAGACAAGUCUGCUGUUAAAGACUACAGCUCAACUGUGGGAUGGCGGUGGAAACUGUAUAACUAGAGUGCGGUAGGGGUAGAGGGAAUUCCCAGUGUAGCGGUGAAAUGCGUAGAUAUUGGGAAGAACACCAGUGGCGAAGGCGCUCUACUGGGCCGCAACUGACGCUGAUGGACGAAAGCUAGGGGAGCGAAUGGGAUUAGAUACCCCAGUAGUCCUAGCUGUAAACGAUGGACACUAGGUGUUGCGCGUAUCAACCCGAGCAGUACCGAAGCAAACGCGUUAAGUGUCCC
Molecule: ribosomal RNA, 496 nt
Filed under: uncultured cyanobacterium
Lineage: Bacteria; Bacillati; Cyanobacteriota
Description: bacterial SSU rRNA
Rfam family: Bacterial small subunit ribosomal RNA
Source: RNAcentral